Long non-coding RNA from Homo sapiens (human), 557 nucleotides. Ensembl annotates it as tumor suppressor candidate 7. Its record names the gene TUSC7. Lineage: Eukaryota; Metazoa; Chordata; Mammalia; Primates; Hominidae. The record is from Ensembl.
CAGAUUAUUCCAGACUUAAGACAUGGAGAUAUAUCUUGCUAGAGCCCCCAGUAUAUAUUCAGUGUGUCCUCUGAAGUAACAACCAUCCCAUCUGGCUGAGAAGUGAUGGACACGGCUCCUUAACCACACUGUACCCUCUGUUCUUGGCACCUCUCUACCAGAAAGAUAUCAACAAAUUGGAUGGAAUUCAGAGAACAUGACUUCCUAUUAUCCUUCUCAAAGUUAUUGCUGCAGAGGAAAGAAGCAUACAUCUUUUACCCACCAGGAAACCCCCAAAGCAUCUAUUACCAUAAUAGCCAUGGGAAACAGAAGGCACCUCAAAUAAAGGUGGGGAAAAGAAUGAAAGAAAUGGCUUUGGCCUGUGCCUGUUUGACCUCUGAGAGAUACUUUUUGCAAGAAAUUGUUAAGUUUUGGCCCAAAAAGUGGUCGGUCUUUUAUCCUUCCUUGUGGAGGCCAAACUGCAAACCAGGAUGAAGAAACCAUCAGUGGCAGUUUGGGGAGGUGGAGGAGGGACUAUCUAGACUCAGUGAAUCACCAAGGAAACAUGAGGCCUAUUU